Molecule: small RNA, 267 nt
Filed under: Niallia circulans
Lineage: Bacteria; Bacillati; Bacillota; Bacilli; Caryophanales; Bacillaceae
Description: Bacillus circulans Bacillus sRNA ncr1575
Rfam family: Bacillus sRNA ncr1575
Source: Rfam by way of RNAcentral
UUACUUAUAACGAAAGGGAUGAUGGGUGAACGAUGAAGAACUAAUCUUAUUUUUCCAAAAUUUGAAUGAAAUACAUUUCAAAUGGAACAAAAAAUAGGAUUAGUCUGCCCAUUUCCAUAAAUCGCUUUUUCAAAGCAUAUCUCUAAUGGUAUGUGCACAAUGAGUGGUCGAUAUGCACGCUUUUUGUAUAUCGGUUAUGUAUGUUGUGAAUGAGCAAAUAAUUAGGUACGGCUAAUCCUUCCAGAGAAAAUUUGGGAGGAUUUUUUU